AAACCUUUGCAGUUUCAAUAAAAAAUCAAAAAUCAUAACCCGUACAUUUCCACCCAACUUUUUUUUUUUUUUUUUUUUUGAGAGAUAGGUAUAUAGCACGCUACCCGCUUCGUUUAUUUCAUUUAGAAAUAAACUUAGCUGGAACUGUGAAUCAACUAGAAUUCGAACUUGGGUCUCGGGUACCAACCACCAAGUCCUUUACCACUUGCUCUAGGGACGAUCGAUAUUUCCACCCAACUUUUAAUCCAUUAGUAUUAACAAU
RNAcentral lists this long non-coding RNA (262 nucleotides) under Ananas comosus (pineapple). Its description in RNAcentral is "long non-coding RNA (ACOM_LNC006952)". The record is from RNAcentral. Lineage: Eukaryota; Viridiplantae; Streptophyta; Magnoliopsida; Poales; Bromeliaceae.